GGGGUUGUGGCUCAGUGGCAGUGUACUCGCCUAGCAUGUGUGAGGCACUGAGUUCGAUCCUCAGUACCACA
This 71-nucleotide transfer RNA is filed under the name Marmota monax (woodchuck). Its description in RNAcentral is "tRNA.Ala". Lineage: Eukaryota; Metazoa; Chordata; Mammalia; Rodentia; Sciuridae. The record is from RNAcentral.